CCCGACCUCAGAUUAGUC
This 18-nucleotide ribosomal RNA is filed under the name Microstomum lineare. Its description in RNAcentral is "partial 28S ribosomal RNA". Lineage: Eukaryota; Metazoa; Platyhelminthes; Dolichomicrostomida; Microstomidae. The record is from RNAcentral.